Molecule: long non-coding RNA, 903 nt
Filed under: Coturnix japonica (Japanese quail)
Lineage: Eukaryota; Metazoa; Chordata; Aves; Galliformes; Phasianidae
Description: lncRNA (ENSCJPG00005020084.1)
Source: RNAcentral
GAGGUGUACUGGGAGGGGUUAUGGGGGGAUAUGGGGUAUAAUGGAGAGUAUGGGGUGUAGUGGGGGAGUUGGAGGUAUAAUGGAGAGUAUGGGGUGUACUGGGGGGGAUUUGGGGGGAUAUGGGGUAUAAUGGAUGGUAUGGGGUGUACUGGGAGGGGGUCUGGGGGGAUAUGGGGUAUAAUGGAGAGUAUGGGAUGUACUGAGGAGGGAUUAUAGGGUGUCCUGAGGAUACAGGUAGCAGCCACACAAAGCUUUGUGUCUUUGGGAUGCUUUGGAAUCAAUCCCAUAUGUGCAGCCCUGGGGGACCAGGAGGGUUUGGGUCGGGUCCAUCCGCACUGUGCCCCCCCAGGGGCUGAUCCUUGUUAAUCCCACACUGGCCCAGUGCCUGAGCUCAGCACCUUCCCACCGCCCCAUCCCCACUGAUUGGUGCUCGGUGCCUUCAUAAGGGGCACAACAGAACCUGGGCUCAUCCUGAGGCUGUGCUCACCACCUGAGCUCCGUGGGGACCAUGAAGCUCUAUGCAAUGCUGCUGCUGGCAGGGCUGGCCUGCUGCCUGGCUGUGGGCUUGCCCGUCAAUGAGACGCUGCAUGUGGGGCAUGAUCCGAAGGUGACUGUAAGAGCUGCUGAAGGAGCCCUGGUGGAUGUGGCCGACGUGGUGGAAAGCCUCCUGCGCUCCCUUGGGGACACCCUGGCUGGGGCUGUCAGGCUGCUGAUAGGGGGAAAGAAUAACAAGCAGCUGGCGUUGUGAGCACUGCCUUCCCCUAAUGGGGACAUAUGGGGACAUGGUGCUCUGUCUAUGGGCUCUGCUCCAUGCCCAGGUGCCACCAAUGCCACCAGCUCUCCCUGCAGCUCUUGAACACGGCUCCAAAUAAAGCCUUCAAUAAAGCAAAGUGCUGAUUGCUG